CCUACGGGAGGCAGCAGUGGGGAAUCUUGCGCAAUGGGCGAAAGCCUGACGCAGCAACGCCGCGUGAGUGAUGAAGGUCUUCGGAUCGUAAAGCUCUGUCGGCAGGAAAGACGGGAACGUUGGCCAAUAUCCAACGGUCUUGACGGUACCUGCAAAGGAAGCACCGGCUAACUCUGUGCCAGCAGCCGCGGUAAU
Molecule: ribosomal RNA, 195 nt
Filed under: uncultured Geobacter sp.
Lineage: Bacteria; Pseudomonadati; Thermodesulfobacteriota; Desulfuromonadia; Geobacterales; Geobacteraceae
Description: partial 16S ribosomal RNA
Rfam family: Bacterial small subunit ribosomal RNA
Source: RNAcentral